AAAAAGAAAAAGUCAACUAACUGCACGCAACUCUACCGGCUGAGUCAUCCUCGAUGGAUGGAAACGCCGGCACUGGCUUUGGAAUGUCGUUUGUGGGGCGUUGGCCCGGCUGGCCAUGUGACCAAAUGGUCGGGUUGUGCCACCGACUAGAUG
This is a long non-coding RNA of Daphnia pulicaria, 153 nucleotides long. RefSeq lists it as uncharacterized. The record is from RefSeq and is a predicted model, not a curated record. The transcript is spliced from 2 exons. NCBI's taxonomy places the organism in Eukaryota, Metazoa, Arthropoda, Branchiopoda, Diplostraca, Daphniidae.